Molecule: ribosomal RNA, 506 nt
Filed under: uncultured Glomeromycotina
Lineage: Eukaryota; Fungi; Glomeromycota
Description: partial small subunit ribosomal RNA
Rfam family: Eukaryotic small subunit ribosomal RNA
Source: RNAcentral
CCAAUAGCGUAUAUUAAAGUUGUCGCAGUUAAAAAGCUCGUAGUUGAAUUUCGGGAUUGACGUGACGGUCGUGCCUUACGGGGUAUGAACUGUCGCCGUUGAUUUCUCACCUUCUGGAGAAGCUCGAUGUCCUUAAUUGGGUGUCUUGCGGAACCAGGACCUUUACCUUGAAAAAAUUAGAGUGUUUAAAGCAGGCAUUUUGCUCGAAUACAUUAGCAUGGAAUAAUAGAAUAGGACGGCAUGGUUCUAUUUUGUUGGUUUCUAGGAUCACCGUAAUGAUUAAUAGGGAUAGUUGGGGGCAUUAGUAUUCAAUUGUCAGAGGUGAAAUUCUUGGAUUUAUUGAAGACUAACUACUGCGAAAGCAUUUGCCAAGGAUGUUUUCAUUAAUCAAGAACGAAAGUUAGGGGAUCGAAGACGAUCAGAUACCGUCGUAGUCUUAACCAUAAACUAUGCCGACUAGGAAUCAGACGAUGUUAAUUUUUUAAUGACUCGUUUGGCACCUUACG